RNAcentral lists this long non-coding RNA (271 nucleotides) under Phoenix dactylifera (date palm). RNAcentral describes it as "long non-coding RNA (PDAC_LNC011549)". The record is from RNAcentral. Lineage: Eukaryota; Viridiplantae; Streptophyta; Magnoliopsida; Arecales; Arecaceae.
UGACUGCAUCGUGACUAUAGGUCAACCAAGGUCGGAUCAUAAGGCACCUAAGUAAUCUAGCUGGGAUAUUCAACCUCUAUCUUUAUGUGAAGACCAAAUCAUGAACCUUAUGGUACGAACAAGGAUACUCGUACUUCUUUUACGGAUAAGGCUAACAAAAAUGCAGUUAACAAAUGUGAACUCCUGAGGCUUUCCUAUUGUCAUUAAGUACACGUGUGGGGAUCUAAUAAUAGAUCUCUGAUCAGUCAUAGUAUGCAUGUGUUCCUUGACU